UACGGGGGGGGCAAGCGUUGUUCGGAAUUACUGGGCGUAAAGGGCGCGUAGGCGGCAUAUUAAGUCAGCUGUGAAAUCUCCGAGCUUAACUCGGAACUGUCAGCUGAUACUGAUGUGCUAGAGUGCAGAAGGGGCAAUCGGAAUUCUUGGUGUAGCGGUGAAAUGCGUAGAUAUCAAGAGGAACACCUGAGGUGAAGACGGGUUGCUGGGCUGACACUGACGCUGAUAGCGCGAAAGCCAGGGGAGCAAACGGG
Molecule: ribosomal RNA, 254 nt
Filed under: uncultured bacterium
Lineage: Bacteria
Description: partial 16S ribosomal RNA
Rfam family: Bacterial small subunit ribosomal RNA
Source: RNAcentral